Molecule: ribosomal RNA, 460 nt
Filed under: uncultured bacterium
Lineage: Bacteria
Description: partial 16S ribosomal RNA
Rfam family: Bacterial small subunit ribosomal RNA
Source: RNAcentral
CCUACGGGAGGCAGCAGUGAGGAAUAUUGGUCAAUGGCCGGAACGCUGAACCAGCCAAGUCGCGUGAGGGAAUAAGGCCCUCUGGUUCGUAACCCUCUUCUGUCAGGGAGCAAAGGCGUCCACGUGUGGACGAGAGGAGAGUACCUGAAGAAACAGCAUCGGCUAACUUCGUGCCAGCCGCCGCGGUAAUACGGAGGAUGCGAGCGUUAUCGGGCUUUAUUGGGUUUACAGGGUGCGUAGGCGGAGUGUCAAGUCAGCGGGAAAAUUUCGGGGCUCACCCCCGUCGUGCAGUUGAUACUGACGCCCUUGAGUGAGUGAGAAGUAAGCUGAAUGCGUGGUGUAGCGGUGAAAUGCAUAGAUAUGACGAGGAACGCCGAUUGCGAAGGCAGCUUACCGGCGCUCAACUGACGCUGAGGCACGAAAGUGCGGGUAGCGAACAGGAGUAGAUACCCUUGUAGUC